Molecule: long non-coding RNA, 357 nt
Filed under: Homo sapiens (human)
Lineage: Eukaryota; Metazoa; Chordata; Mammalia; Primates; Hominidae
Description: non-protein coding lnc-KRR1-4:17
Source: RNAcentral
ACUACUUCUCCAGAUUCUGAAUGUUCUACAUCUGGGCACAAGAUUACCGUUCUUUCAUUGUACCAUCUCAGGCUCAGUCAUUGUUACUUAAGCAGGCCACCAUGUUGCGGGACUGGUGGGGAUGAGCUUGCAGGCUCAGUUGUCAGUGUGAGAACUUUCCCUUUCCUAUGACCUUCCAGAUGAGGAACUGCUCAGAUCACCAGCUGCUUCAGGUUACCAGCCCACACCUGUCUGUCUCACCUCUGACAACCUUGAUAUAAAUUAAACAAUGAAUAAGAACAAAAACAAUUUAAAACUGCGUAAUGGUCCAAACCACCAUGGAUGGUGUUCUGACGAUGAUACACGGGGUGAGGUCUG